Molecule: long non-coding RNA, 679 nt
Filed under: Eutrema salsugineum
Lineage: Eukaryota; Viridiplantae; Streptophyta; Magnoliopsida; Brassicales; Brassicaceae
Description: long non-coding RNA (ESAL_LNC001504)
Source: RNAcentral
GAAAAUGGAGUAGGUUGGAGAAUAAUUUCCUCCAAAAUGGCAUUUGGAAGAAGAAAUGGGGUAGAGUUGGAGAUGCCCUGAGUUCCAUCGUCCGCCAUCGUCGCAACACCACGCCCACAGCUCUGUCUCAGGUCAUCCUAACUCAAAGAGCAGUUCACAAUCUCACCACGAACUCAUCGAGAGAUGAAAAGAUCUAAUUGGAAUUUCUGCAAUUUGCUGUUUCGAAAACUCAGCUCCACUCAGAACCAGAAUCAGCACUCCGCGAAAAAUCAAUUUCACAACAAGCAAUCCGCCAUUACUUCGAGCUCCCCGGAGCUCCGCCAUCGUCGCCGCCACUCACCGCCGUCCCUGCAACAGAUCAAGCCGACAUAAAUAAAAGGAUCAGAUUUUCUUCUUCUAAUUGGGCUCAAGCAGAUUUUGGCCCACCUGACAUAAAAAAAUACUAAGCCUGAUUCUGGCCCAAGGCGAUGUGAAGACUUAGGCCCAUCCUUCACAAUCUUCAAGAUCUUCAUCUUGGCGAUGUCUUCAUGAUCUUUUCUCGACGGAAAGUUAAAAUCUGAAGCCAACACCUGUGAAAAACUGAGGGGACAACUGGACAAGACUCUUAUGAUCUCAGCUCCAACAAUUAUUUUAGAUCGGCUCCCCCUAAUCUUUGCUGUAAUCCUAAAAAGAACUCUCC